CACUGCAUUAAUAAUUUUGAGCGACUUGUCAACAAUACAAUUAUUUCGCUUGGCUUUCAACUGACAAAGGCCAUAUUCGCUAGAAUACUGUUGUUUAGUAAUACUGUAAUUUGACAUCCGUAAUUAGUACAAUUUCUAACGCUGAAUCGAACGGUGGUAUUUUUAUCCUCAAUAGGUCUACGUACUGCGAGCGAAUUAUCAACAAUACAAUUUCGCUUGAUUUUCAAAAGCAAUAAAUCGCUAGAAUACUUGUGUUUAGUAAUACACUUGACAUCCGUAAGUACAAUUUCUUACGCUGAAUCGUA
Paramuricea clavata is the source of this 305-nucleotide non-coding RNA. The record is from the annotation of a GenBank genome assembly. NCBI's taxonomy places the organism in Eukaryota, Metazoa, Cnidaria, Anthozoa, Malacalcyonacea, Plexauridae.